UACGUAGGGUGCAAGCGUUGUCCGGAAUUAUUGGGCGUAAAGAGCUCGUAGGCGGUUUGUCGCGUCUGCUGUGAAAACCCGAGGCUCAACCUCGGGCCUGCAGUGGGUACGGGCAGACUAGAGUGCGGUAGGGGAGAUUGGAAUUCCUGGUGUAGCGGUGAGAUGCGCAGAUAUCAGGAGGAACACCGGUGGCGAAGGCGGGUCUCUGGGCCGAUACUGACGCUGAGGAGCGAAAGCAUGGGUAGCGAACAGG
This 253-nucleotide ribosomal RNA is filed under the name uncultured bacterium. RNAcentral's name for it is "partial 16S ribosomal RNA". It matches the Rfam family "Bacterial small subunit ribosomal RNA", at positions 524 to 776 of the family's 1533-position model. The record is from RNAcentral.